GGCAGCUGGCCGCGUAUGUUCCCAUUCGGAACCCUGGAAUAGACUUCAUUGCUCCUCUGUGGAUUGACCUUGACAACAGAUAUGGAGGAACUAUCUCUUAUAGAGAGCAUACAAGUAGUGCUGUACUGGCACAAGUCACUGAAGCUGUUAAUCAAUACGUCCCUAACAUACCUUUUGCUGCUACUUCAGUUUUUGUCGCUACCUGGGACAGUGUGCCAUACUAUAAUGGUGGAGGGGUAAGAUCUAAUCAUUAUUUAUCAACAAAUUAGUGUUGUCCUUUGAAGGGUGAAGAUUUUUAAUGCUGUCUGUUGGUAUUUCGAAGUUGGUUACUUUCCAGGUGGUUUUAGUCUCCAGUGUUCAUUGCUCUUUCAUCCUGAUCAACUAUGGAGACAUUGCAGAAACAGGACAAAUUUGGCUGGCUGGUUACAACACGGUGGACUCUGUCAAUUCUUUCACAAUUCCAGUAACCAGUGCCCCAGAACUCUCAUCCAGCAGCAAUAUCAAUGUGAAUGGUCACUGGUCCUUCCAUGUUGAUGGCUCACCAAUCUGUGCGUCUCAAUAAUCGUCUUAUUGUUUGCAAUAAAAGCCAUUGUAACAGGAAACUUACUUUAACUGUACCAUUUUAAGUAUAUGUUUCUGUAGCAGAACUAAAAAAUUUAUUCUCUUUUUUUUUUUUUUUUUUCAUAGUGCCAGCUAAUUUAUUGCCUUCCGGAAAUGGAGAAAUAGUAAACUGCAUAUCUGAUGUUGGAAGCUCGGAAGCCAUUGCUUUGCAGCAGCCUUUCAAAUACUUUGAACACACAUACAAUCGGACCUUUGUAAGCAUUUUUUUGUUGUUGUUUAAAGAUAUCUGUGAGAAUUCUUUACUUCUGAAGAAAGAAAGAAAGAAAGAAAGAAAUUCAAAUUAAUUUUAAUGGGUUUUAAGAGGGUAAGUCUUGGUUAGUCAAAUAUAUGUCCUUUAAAACACACUUUUUUUUUUUUUUUUUUAUUUUAGGUAAACAACAAUGGCCAUCUAACAUUUUCAGAGCCACUGUCCACCUACACCCCCCCUUGUGAAUUCUGGAAGAGACAUUAUUGCUCCUCUUUGGACUCACCUUGUGUUACGUAUCCGGCGCCUGCUGGUUCCUGCUACUCCCCACCAGAGGUCGCCGGUUCACCAUUUCAGUGCACACACAGUUAUACAUCACUCUGGACUACAUUUCCCAUAAUUCCCCAUCUAGGAACCAAUUACACACUCGCACCUGUUUCCCAUCAGUGGACCCUUUAUAAGCUGCACCCAGACACACACACAGGGCUGAGUAUUGUUUAGUCAUAUGUUUUCCGUUUUAAUCCUUGUUCCUAGUUCCUAGCCUUGCUGAUGGCCACAGAGCUUGGCCCAUCUUUAUUACCAGCAUGUACUGUUUUAAAGAUUACUAGCCCUGUGCUUUAUGCCUCUUCCUGCCCUGUAAUUGCCACGCCUGAGCCCUCAGCUAAGAUGGCUGCCACGCUUGAGCUCUCAGCUAAGAUGGCUACCAUGCUUGAGCCCUCAGCUAAGAUGGCUGCCACGCUUGAGCCCUCAGCUAAGAUGGCUGCCAUGCUUGAGACCUCAGCUAAGAUGGCUGCCAUUCCUGAACCUAGUCAAGUCAUAGUUGAUCUUCCUGAACCUAGUCAAGUCACAGUUGAUCUUCCUGAGUCAGGUCAAGUCACAGUUGAUCUUAGUGAGCCCAGUCAAGUCACAGUUGAUCUUACUGAACCUAGUCAAGUUACAGUUGAUCUUUGUGAGCCCAGUCAAGUCACAGUUGAUCUUCGUGAGCCCAGUCAAGUCACAGCUGAUCUUCCAGAGCCCUGUCACGUCACAGCUGAUCUUCCAGAGCCUUGUCACGUCUCCGUUGAUCUUCCAGAGCCCUGUCACGUCUCCGCUGAUCUUCCAGAGUCACGUCACGUCUCCGCUGAUCUUCCAGAGUCAGUCACGUCACGUCUCCGCUGAUCUUCCAGAGUCACGUCACGUCUCCGCUGAUCUUCCAGAGCCCUGUCACGUCUCCGCUGAUCUUCCAGAGCCCUGCCACGUCUCUGCUGAUCUCGGUUUACCGUAGUCAACCGGAUCUGGGCCGUAUCCAGGUGAAAUUGAGGACCUGCACCUUGACACGACCACAACGCAGCCCUGAAGUAUCAGCAGAGAUUGAGUCAACUAGAUCAUCCACUGUGAAGGCCUCAUCGUCUCGACAGCCAGUGGCACAGUUCCUCAACAAACCCCAUACUGGAGUGAUGAAUAUGAUCCUUAACUGGAUGGAACUGGAAUAAAUACUUUGAAUGUUGCGGUCCCAUCGGACUUAUGAUAGCUACCUGAAUCGUAACAAAGCACUGUUCGCCAGAGGAGAACUGGCCCACUGACUAAGCCUGGUUUCUCCCAAAGUUUUUUUCUCCAUUUUAACACCUGUUUGCCACUUGUUUGCCACCUGAUGUCACCUGUUGGAGUUUGGGUUCCUUGCCGCUGUCGUCUUUGGCUUGCUUAGUUGGGGACACUUAACAUUUGAUAUUCAACAGUGCUUUAAUCUGCCUGCAUUGACACCAUUUUCUUUAAGAGCUGCUGUGCAGCCAAAUAAUGUACCAGUUAUCACUGUAAAGCUACUUUGACACAACCUGCAUUGUAAAAAGUGCUAUAUAAAUAAAGGUGACUUGACUUGACUUGACUAUGGCUCCUACCUUCCCCUCAUCCAUUUGGAUGCCACUGCUGCUGAUGUUAUAUCCAAGGAAUUGCACUGAGGGUCGAUGGAAGUAGCACUUCUCAGCUUUGAGGAAUAAUUGGAACUCUCUCAGGCAUUUCAGGACCUCCGCAACGUGGUGGUGAUAUUCGGCCAUGCUCCGGGAGUAGAUCAGGAUAUCGUCGAUGUAGACCAGGACAAACUUGUGGAGGAACUCCCGGAGCACCUUAUGGAUGAAACCCUGGAAUACGCAGGAGGCGUUGACCAGGCCAUAUGGCAUAACGCAGUAUUCAUAGUGUCCAGUAGGGGUCACAAAAGCUGUCUUCCACUCGUCAGUUCAGAUAAGCAAUUCAAAAUCACAAGCAUUGACAGAAACUAACAGGACAGAUAGGUCAUAAUUGGGCACAUUUGGGAGCACAGACAAGGCAGACAGUUCAUUUGCAGAGCCAACAGGAAGUUCAUGUAUGGUUUCUGGGGACGUGACAGGGUUAACAGGGCAGGAAAAAGGUUCAUUUAUGACCUCUGUGGUCAGUUCAGGACUGAAUGAAAGUUCACAGACAGCCUCUGCGACUGGAUCGAGAAAGGACAACAGUUUACAGACGGCCUCCGUGGCCGAUUCAGGACUGGACUGCACCUCUGAGGCUGGGCUGGGACAGGACCCAAGUUCACAAAUGGCCUCUGUGGCUGCUUCAGGACUGGACGAGAGUUCACAGACAGCCUCUGUGGCUGAUUCAGGACAAGAUGAAAGUUCACAGACAGCCUCUAUAGCCGUGACAGAACAGGCAGAUAAGUGGAAACCACUGACACCUCUGGAGGUUCUGCAGCGAUUGCCGCCACCUCUGGAGGUUCUACAGCAGUAACAUCGGGAAACAGGGAGGAUUCAGUAAUGGUCUCUUCAACCACGACACGACAGGCUGAGAGUGUAUCGCUGGACGCCACCAUCAUGCAAGGAGCUGACGCGAGCGCCGCCGCCUCGUGAGGUUCUGCAGCAUAUGCCUGCCACCUCAAGGGAAAUUGCAGCGGGCUCCGCUACCAUCAGAGGUUCUGCAGCAUAAGCUGCCACCUUUGGAGAUUCAUUGGUGGUGUACGCGGUCCAGAUACACCAGAAAGCGACCCCCAUUAUGGGGAGCGCUGCGGACAGUGGAAUCAGUUCAGGAACAGGAGGGAGCUGAUUUGGGGAUACCAGCGGCACAUGCUGACACCAGCGGUGUAUCCCACAUACUGGAUACCAGACUGGGAUACUAAAGGACUGACCUCAAAGAUUUGGGUGUAACAGACAAGACAUGACCAGACUCUGGAUGAUCCGCUGUGAUGUGACGCGAUUCUGGAUGAUCAGCUGAGACAUGACGUGACUCUGGAUGAUCAGCUGAGAUGUAACAGGGCUCUGGAAGAUCUGCUGAGAUGUGACAGGGCUCUGGAAGGUCUGCUCAGACGUGACAGGGCUCUGGAAGGUCUGCUGAGACGUGACGAGGCUCUGGAAGAUCUGCUGAGACGUGACAAGGCUCUGGACGAUCUGCUGAGACAUGACGAGGCUCUGGACGAUCUGCUGAGACGUGACGAGGCUCUGGACGAUCAGCUGAGACGUGACGAGGCUCUGGAAGAUCAGCGGAGACGUGACGUGGCUCUGGACGAUCAGCGGAGACGUGACGUGACUCUGGACGAUCAGCGGAGACGUGACGUGACUCUGGACGAUCAGCGGAGACAUGACGUGACUCUGGAUGAUCAGCAGUGACUUGA
This is a long non-coding RNA of Ctenopharyngodon idella (grass carp), 4415 nucleotides long. RefSeq lists it as uncharacterized. The transcript has 3 exons. NCBI's taxonomy places the organism in Eukaryota, Metazoa, Chordata, Actinopteri, Cypriniformes, Xenocyprididae. The record is from RefSeq and is a predicted model, not a curated record.